Molecule: non-coding RNA, 171 nt
Organism: Pelobates cultripes (western spadefoot toad)
Lineage: Eukaryota; Metazoa; Chordata; Amphibia; Anura; Pelobatidae
Source: the annotation of a GenBank genome assembly
GGUCAGCUGACACAUCCCUGCCAAUCUCCGGCAGACCCUCCCUCCCUCCCAGACCCUCCUACUUCCUGGACAGCAUCCAUGUUGAAGACAGCUUCAACAUGGAUGCUGUCCAGGAGGUGGGAGGGUCUGGGAGGGAGGGUCUGCCGGAGAUUGGCAGGGAUGUGUCAGCUG